UCCUCCUUCAUCACUCGAAACCCUAACCCUAUUUAGGUUACCGCCAUGUCCAAGCGCAAGUUCGGUUUCGAGGGCUUCGGCAUCAACCGCCCAUCCACGUACUCCUCCGAGCGCUCCCAGGCCUCUCAGCGCCUCUACGCGCCCUUCCACGACCUCUCCGACGACCAAGACCUCAACGACAUCACCUACGACAACCCCGGCCCGCCCCAUUCUGCCCCAGAUGGUGAUGGAGAGAUCGACCCCCUUGAUGCCUUCAUGGAGGGCAUCCACGGGGAGAUCCGCGCGCCACCUCCCCCCUCUGUUCAACCUAAGGAAAAGGGUGAGAGGUUUAAGGAUGAGGACGAGGACGACCCUGUUGAGAGCUUUCUGAGAUCUAAGAAGGACAUUGGCUUGGCCUUGGCUUCAGAGGCCUUGUAGGCUGGGUAUAAUUCGGAUGAGGAGGUCUAUGCUGCUGCCAAGGCUGUGGAUGCUGGCUUGGUUGAGUAUGAUUUGGAUGACAACCCAAUUGUUGUUGAUAAGCGAAAGAUUGAGCCGAUCCUGGCUUUGGAUCAUAGUGCCAUUGAAUAUGAACCCUUUAAUAAGGAUUUCUAUGAAGAAAAGCCCUCAAUUUCUGGGAUCAUGCUAGUGAGGUUUAGAGAAAUGAUGGAUUUGGACUCCUACGGUACGCUGUCAGGGUGAGAUGGAGGCGGUGGUGAGAACCCUUGCAAGUGGGUUGGGGUUGGUUGCGUAGAUGGCAGAGUAUUGGAUCUGAAAUUUAUGUGUAGAUUGGAUGGUGGAAUUGCAACAAUAUAGUGCAAAUAAGGCUGAUUGAAGCUCUAUUUCUGAGCUCACUGGCAUUAGCUAUGGCGGAUAUUGUUGUUGCCUAUUGGACCAAUUGCAGGGAGAGAAGGAAGCUUCUUCUUGUGUAUGGGAUCGACAUAGAAGGAGUAUAGGUCAUCAUCUAGGUCAAGAUCAGCUUAGUCGCUUCAGCACAAUGAGGAGUGGUUUGAUCAGAUGGAGAACUAUUUACCACAGGUGAUCAACGAGGAGGCACCAGAGAUCAUUGAAGGGUUGUGGGAGAAAGGCCGGAUGUUUACCGAGUUCGUCAUGGCUAAUGGUACCGUCACUGAAUGAUUGCGCAUUGCUUGUAUACUUGGAGAGGUUUGUGUAUUGUUGUUAUGCCUUAGUUCUCACAAUUGCUUGAUGGAUGGUGUUACUUGCGUCCAUACUAAUAUUGAGAACUGAGAAGUUUAGUAGAACAUGAUGUGAAUAAUAAUAUGAAUCAUGAUGGGCACGGUUAUUUCUUGUUGUUUCUGAAUCA
Molecule: long non-coding RNA, 1300 nt
Organism: Dioscorea cayenensis subsp. rotundata (Guinea yam)
Lineage: Eukaryota; Viridiplantae; Streptophyta; Magnoliopsida; Dioscoreales; Dioscoreaceae
Exons: 5
Source: RefSeq, a predicted model, not a curated record